RNAcentral lists this ribosomal RNA (508 nucleotides) under uncultured Glomus. RNAcentral describes it as "SSU rRNA". It matches the Rfam family "Eukaryotic small subunit ribosomal RNA", at positions 569 to 1081 of the family's 1831-position model. The record is from RNAcentral. Lineage: Eukaryota; Fungi; Glomeromycota; Glomeromycetes; Glomerales; Glomeraceae.
AGCAGCCGCGGUAAUUCCAGCUCCAAUAGCGUAUAUUAAAGUUGUUGCAGUUAAAAAGCUCGUAGUUGAAUUUCGGGAUCAGUACGCUGGUCGUGCCUUGGUAUGCACUGGUGUCACUGAUUCCUCCCUUCUGAAGAACCGUUAUGCCAUUUAUUUGGUGUGAUGGGGAAUCAGGACUGUUACUUUGAAAAAAUUAGAGUGUUUAAAGCAGGCUCGCGCUUGAAUACAUUAGCAUGGAAUAAUGAAAUAGGACGUUUGAUCUUAUUUUGUUGGUUUCUAGGAUCGACGUAAUGAUUAAUAGGGAUAGUUGGGGGCAUUAGUAUUCAAUUGUCAGAGGUGAAAUUCUUGGAUUUAUUGAAGACUAACUACUGCGAAAGCAUUUGCCAAGGAUGUUUUCAUUAAUCAAGAACGAAAGUUAGGGGAUCGAAGACGAUCAGAUACCGUCGUAGUCUUAACCAUAAACUAUGCCGACUAGGGAUCGGAUGAUGUUAUUUUUAAUGACUCAUUC